GGGAUUGGAAUUCUUGGUGUAGCAGUGAAAUGCGUAGAUAUCAAGAGGAACACCAGUGGCGAAGGCGAAUCCCUGGACAAUACCUGACACUGAGGCACGAAAGCUAGGGGAGCAAACAGGAUUAGAUACCCUGGUAGUCCUAGCUGUAAACGGUGUGUGCUUGCUGUAAGAGGAAUCGACCCCUUUUGUGGCGUAGCUAACGCGAUAAGCACACCGCCUGGAAAGUACGGUCGCAAGAUUAAAACUCAAAGAAAUUGACGGGGGCCUGCACAAGCGGUGGAGUAUGUGGCUUAAUUCGAUGCAACGCGAAGAACCUUACCUGGCCUUGACAUGCAUGUAGUAGGACCGUGAAAGCGGAACGAGGUAGCAAUACCAGCGUGCACAGGUGCUGCAUGGCUGUCGUCAGCUCGUGUCGUGAGAUGUUGGGUUAAGUCCCGCAACGAGCGCAACCCUUGUGUCCUGUUGCCACCCCGGCGAGAGCCGGGAGCACUCUGGACAGACUGCCUCAUUUUAAUGAGGAGGAAGGUGGGGAUGACGUCAAGUCAGUAUGGCCCUUACGGCCAGGGCUGCACACGUACUACAAUGCCCGGUACAAAGGGACGCCAAACCGCAAGGUGGAGCAAAUCUCAGAAAACCGGGCCCAGUUCGGAUUGUCGUCUGCAACUCGACGACAUGAAGUUGGAAUCGCUAGUAAUGGCGCAUCAGCUACGGCGCCGUGAAUACGUUCCCAGGCCUUGUACACACCGCCCGUCACAUCAUGAAAGCCGUUUGUACCCGAAGUCAGCAGGCUAACCGCAAGGAGGCAGCUGCCGAAGGUAUGGAUGGUGAU
RNAcentral lists this ribosomal RNA (829 nucleotides) under uncultured bacterium. RNAcentral's name for it is "bacterial SSU rRNA". It matches the Rfam family "Bacterial small subunit ribosomal RNA", at positions 657 to 1475 of the family's 1533-position model. The record is from RNAcentral.